This 76-nucleotide transfer RNA is filed under the name Pseudoflavonifractor phocaeensis. Its description in RNAcentral is "tRNA-Pro". It matches the Rfam family "tRNA". Rfam says of the family: Transfer RNA (tRNA) molecules are approximately 80 nucleotides in length. RNAcentral also lists the same sequence under 13 other names. The record is from RNAcentral. Lineage: Bacteria; Bacillati; Bacillota; Clostridia; Eubacteriales; Oscillospiraceae.
CCGGGUGUAGCCCAGUUGGUAGGGCGCCACAUUUGGGAUGUGGAAGCCGCGCGUUCGAGUCGCGCCACUCGGACCA